GCGAAAGUGGCGAAAUUGGUAGACGCACUGGAUUUAGGUUCCAGCGGGCAACCCCCGUGAGAGUUCGAGUCUCUCCUUUCGCACCA
RNAcentral lists this transfer RNA (86 nucleotides) under Burkholderiales bacterium. RNAcentral's name for it is "tRNA-Leu". It matches the Rfam family "tRNA". From Rfam's summary of the family: Transfer RNA (tRNA) molecules are approximately 80 nucleotides in length. Their secondary structure includes four short double-helical elements and three loops (D, anti-codon, and T loops). Lineage: Bacteria; Pseudomonadati; Pseudomonadota; Betaproteobacteria; Burkholderiales. The record is from RNAcentral.